This is a long non-coding RNA of Crotalus tigris (Tiger rattlesnake), 6854 nucleotides long. RefSeq lists it as uncharacterized. The transcript is spliced from 2 exons. Lineage: Eukaryota; Metazoa; Chordata; Lepidosauria; Squamata; Viperidae. The record is from RefSeq and is a predicted model, not a curated record.
UUCUGCAAAUGGUGCUGCACCAGUUGAGUAGUCCUCGACUUACAACCGGUUGGGGGUCGCGGCAUUAAAAAGGUUGAGAACCACUGGUCUAAAAUAAGUUUCUGUUUUUAAAAUUGGAUUAACAAAACAUGCAAUGAUAGGAGUAUUUUGAGUCACGUGAAUAGCCUCAUAGCUUUUUUUUUUUUAAAGCGAAAUUAAGAAAAUGGAUGCUUUUGAGUGGGGAAAGAAUCUUGAAUCUGUGUUUUGAAGGAAAAAAAAAAAGCUAGGUAAUUAUGCUAGGUAUUUCCCACCCAAAAGUUGCUGAAGAAUCAUGCAGCUGGUGAAGUUGUACAGCCUGUACAGCAAGAUUCCUAUUAUGAUAGUCUUUCUGGUUUUAGAGGACUAUUCCGCAUUCUUAGAUAUAUGAAAAUUGGCUUGUGGGUUUUGAUAAACAUUUUCUAUCAUUUGCUCCUCAAAUGCGGAUUUAGGAAGGGGGAGACUAUAUACAAGUGUACAUGCUGAUGCAUUUUGAGGUCCUACUUGUGCAGACAGAUCUGACAAUUCUUGAGAAACUCAGAUAUCCACAGGGCAUUUAUUAUUGGAAAAUUGCUCAAUGCACGCACAUAAGAACUGCUACAUGCAUGGCAUCAUUAUCCUUCACAGAAUAAGAAAAGAGGAGACCUUGGAGAAGCUUAUACACUACUCUAUCACACUGUGACCAGAGAUACUACAUUUCAAAAACAAAAUUAAAGAGUUCAAAAUAUCUUAAGAUGCCUGCAAGUAUUUUCUGCAGAGAUGAACAUAAAUUUGUCUCAUUACACACUCAUUUAUUUUUCUCUUGGGACACUGGAGGGAGGUCAAGUCGAAUAUGAGAAAGCAAACAAAAAAGGGGGUAAAACUAUCAGUCUGUUGUUCGACUGUCAUUUUUACUUUAAGAACAGCCAAUAAACACUAAACAAAGCUUGCCCCUCUCGCUGUUCUUGAUAAAUCCUCCCAUAAAGAAAUACUGAAUGACUCCUAUUCCUCUUCAAGAAGGAGAAAAAAACAUCAUUCAAGUUAACCCCCAGCAUCACCAUCACUUUACUGCACAAAAUGUGUGGAGAAUUUGGAAAGGACACCUAUGCACAAUCCAGAUUUAACUUUAGAGAUGCUUUCCCUAAAUGUGAGCCCUUCUGCUGUACAUUACCUGUACUAGGAUUUCAAUUUAUGCAGGUUUAUGACUAUAAUUACACGUUUGACUGAUUGAUCAAUUUCUGGAGCUGCCUUCCCUGUCAAUAUAGCUCACAGAAAGUUCCUGUAGCACUUUUGAGAAAGUAGCUGAACUAAAAGAAAUUAGAUCUACCAAAAUUUUAAAGCAUCUCUCACAAGAUGGUAAUAUGUAAAACAGGGACAGUGGUUUACCAGAAAAAAACAGUCAUAGAUACACAGCAUUCUGUGAAAACCUAAUGGAAGAACAGCAUCUGUAACACCAAGAGAAAAAUAUCAAGAGCAUUAUUCAGGAAUUAACAGAGGUAAAUUAAUAUGCCAUAAGUCUGCCUAGGUAAGUGGGUGUGUUCGCUUUAUAAUAUUUUUCCCACACUUAAGAAUGAUGAGAAUUAUUCAUUCAAUGAGUUUUAAUAAAUGGGAAUUAUACUCCUGUACCUCUAUCAAAUUGCCUAGAAAUAUCAUGUCAGCAGAUCUAGUGUGGAUAAUUCCAUGGGAGAUAUUUUGUACACUUAGCAGAUCUAGGAAGUAGUUGAUACAAUCUAGGCUACAAUUUUUUUUAGCAGCAGCCAAAGGGAAACAUGAAAGAAUAUAUUCAUUAACAAUCACUGUAUUCCAUAAGUAACCUUUGAGAGGAAUUUUAAUGUAGACGGAGAACCAGAAAUCUAUUUUUGUUAGUCUGCAUUAGACAGGAGGCAUAUGGGUGGCUUAAUUAGGAUUGUUAGGAAAAGAAAAUCCAACUGGAACUUGGAAAAUGGUUGACCUAUUGUAAAAGUCAAUUUGGAUUGGUCAAAAGGUAAAGUCAAUGCUCUAUUAGCAGUUAGACAGCUCAUGUAAUUGGUGAGAUUUUUAAACUAUGAAAAAAUCUGUCAGACAAUUGGAAUAUAAGCAUUUGAAUUGGUUGUUCUUGAAGGGAGCACAGGAAACUUUCUAGUUUGAGGGAAAUUUGAUGGGAAAAGAUCGUGAGGCCAAAGCUGAAAACAAAAGAAGCUCAUGAGGGAUUUAUUAGAGGUUAAAUGUUCAAAGAAAAAGAUAAUGAACUUGGGACAGUUCUGUUAAGUUACAAGUAUAAUCAAGUAUAUUCAGUAAAAAUUAACUACCUUAACUUUGAGGAAAAUGUUUUAUCCCCAUGGUAAACAAGGGGACAGAUAAUAGACAGGUGACAGAUAGACAAAUAUAUAGACAGACAAUCAACCAACCAGAAAAAUUCUCUUGCCAAUGCAAUUAAAGCUUGGUAAAACUGAGGGUUUUUUUUUUUUGGGAGAGCAGCUACAUAUGAUUGAAAGAAAAUUAUCCACUGAACUAGGUUUCAAAGGUUGUUGUUCAUAGCGAGGAAACCUAUUUGGAGUCUUCCAGAUACAGGCAAGCAGUUUCCCGGUAAGAAAGAUGGACAGCCUAUAAAAAAAAUGAUGCUUGCAAGAUAUUUGACAAUCCAGUGCCAUGACCUGUCGAAAUAAACUUUAAUUAUGAAGAUUCUUUUCACAUAACCCACACUCAGACUAAUGUUGUCAUCUAUGAAAAGAGAGUGAGUGAAUAAACACAGUUUAUGGGAAACUUCUGGGUGACGCAUGGCCCCUCCCUUGUCUUCCUCACAAUCUGGGCCAAGCUGGAGGGCCUGAGGGGAGCUCAGCUCCAAAACACCUGCCUUUUAUCCCUGGAAGAAAGUGCAGACAGCUGAUCUUGUACUCGGUCUACCAGUAGUAGGGACUCUGGCAGUAGAAGCCAACUGCUUUGGACCCAGCCUUUAAAGGUGCUCCUCCCUGCAGGGCAAGGAAGAACUACAAGGCCUGUUUCAAGGAACUAAGAAAGUUGCUUCAAAGCCCUGAUGCCUCAUUCCUGCGAGGCAGGGCUUGGCUCCUGCCCCAAUUUAAAUGACGUUCAGCCCAUGGGAGAGAGUCUAGGCCAGAAUCCACCCCUUGGGCCUGGCUGUUUCUCACUCUUGAUUGAAGUAAAGGUUGCAAGCUUUAUUCAGCAAACCGAUCAGUUAGGAUUGCAUAUAUACACAGAUAAUCCUAUGCACACAUCCUACACAGUAGGUCAUGCCAAACUCCCUAAGAUUGAUUUCUGAGUAAACACAUUUGAUGUGUUAUGAUUAAAACUGCCAUAUAUUUUCCAGAGAUUAAACCUUGCUGAAUUCAAACAAGCUUCUUCUCUGGUGUAAACCCUGAACAGAACUGGGUUGCCUGGCUUUGGUGGUGGGAGUUAUAAAUCUUAUUCAUUUUGGAGAUUAUAUUGGCUAGAGCAUGUUGCAAUUAGACUAGAAUUAAAGCACACACAGGUGCCUUAUAAGGAAAAAAAAGAUUACUAGCUGGUUAAACUGCAGCUUCUCAUACAUCUUCAUUAUCUAAGAAGGGCAAAGUUAUGAAAGCUAACUAGCUUUAGCUAAUUAAACAUAUUGUGGUUAGCUAUCAGUUUCCUGUUGCUUGUCUCCCAAAUAAUUGGAAUUGCAUCCUAUCAGGCAUUUUUCUUUUUUUAUUAAGGCAUAGAGAUUCAAAGCAGCAGAAAAGAAUUCAGCACAGAGAGAUCCAUGAUAGGCAAGGAUUUUUAGUGGUUCAGUUUGAAGAGCAGCAGCCAUUUCAUAAGAUUGUAGAUCUUUAGAGAGGAAACUGGGAAGAUAACAGGUCAUUUCAUUGAAUGCUAAGGUGAUAGCUCAUAUGGCUCUUUAACUAUUUUUAUUCCAGAUGGAUGCUGAUAGCUGUAUUAUAACUAUGGCAGAAUUUGACUUUUUUUUUCUCUUCCCUCAUCAUCCCAUUUUUCUUUUGUGUUAGGCCUUCUACCUGUAAGCCUAGGCAAGUAAGAAGAGACUGCUUUGCAUGUGGAAAUAUUUUUACUUGUUCUUUAGCUGGAAAAUGCCAUAAGUUAACAGAUGACCCAAAAAACGUAUUAAGAGAGAGCAAUCUAAUAAAACCUGUGCUGAACACCUAGAAGUUUGAAAGCAUGCAAAUGUGAGUAGAUUAAUGGGUACCACUUCGAUGGGAAGGUAACAGUGUUCCAUGCACUUUUGGCAUAUAGCCAUGCGUAUCACAUGAUCACAGAAACUGUCUUCGGACAAUGCUAGCUCCCUCAGCUAUGAAACAGAGACGAGCACUGUGCCAUAGGGUUGGACACAACUGGACAGGGAAACUUUUACCUUUUAAAAAAAAAUUACAUUUCAAAUGGAAAUGGGAAAGGAGGGAACAAUGCACAAAGAUCAGCUACUCAAAGCAAUGAUCAGAAGACUGUGAACUGCAAAUACAAGGAAGAAGGAACAAGAGGUUGCAAUCCUCUGAACGGUUAUUCUCGGCACAUUCCACUGAACACAUUAGAAUUUAUUUUCAAAGAAAUGUGUAGAAGACUGCUAAUGCCUGUGCCACAGUCUGAAUUAUUACAAAUGCCAAGUGUGACUGACUCAUCCAUAUGUCUCUCACUUAGUUUCAUUCUAACCAAACUGGUUUUGCAGACAAAAGGGGCAACUCCUUAUUUUGAAGAUCCAUGUGACUGAGUGUGUCACGAGAAAAAACAUCCUUACAGCUGUAAGUGACCUCAUAAUCUAAAGGAGUACAUUGAUAUAAUCAAUGUAUUAAUUGUAAUAAUUGAGCUGCUUUCCUCCAUUUUUACUUUUAAGAGAGUCCUACAUGAUUCUAAAUAAUUCUAUAACACAGAGGAGAAGCCUGAAACUGUUCCCAGCAUCCUAUCUGUUUCUCUGGGGACUGCACUGCUGAAAUCUAUUCACAAAAUGGCCACAUUUUGACAGCACAUUUUCUCUCUCUCUUUGGUGCCAGGGUCAGGGCUGGAAUGAAAACAGAAAGCCUCUGAGAAGUUACAUUGCUUCAGACCCUCCAUUUAAUAAAAACUCCCAAACUGUGCCACAUUGAUCAGCAAAAUAACUAAAUUUUAUCAGUACAAUUUUUGAGUUAAAGUCAAAUACAAAUGAAAAUUGGAGCAGAGGUCCUCUGAGAGAUGAAUUGUUCUAAUUUCUACCUUUUAAGUGUUCACAAUGGUGAAAAGAAAAUGUUAGGCCCGCUUUAUUUGAUGAUGUCAGCACAUCACUGGAGGUCUAAUCCAGCCUGCCAACUAGUCAGAAUUUGCAGCUUUUUGACAGAGAGGGAGUUACCCACCCUGUGCCACAGGUGGGUUGGAGUUGUAUCUAUAUGUACAGGUAGUUCUCAACUUACAACUGUUUGUUUAGUGACUGAAAUUACAACAGCACUGAAAAAAGCGACUUAUGAUUUGUCACACAUGUGACUAUUGUAGCAUCCCCAUGGUCACAUGAUCAAAUUCCGACACUUGACAACAAACUCAUAUUAAUGAUGGUUGGAGUGUCCCGGGCUCAUGGGAUCACCUUUGCAACCUUCUGACAAGCAAAGCCAGUGGGGAAGACAAAUUCACUUAACAAUUGUGUUACUAACUUAACUUAUGGAGUGAUUCACUUAACUACUGUAGGAAGAAAGGUCAUAAAAUGGGGGACAACUCAAUUAACAAAUGUCUCAUUUAGCAACAUAAAUUUUGGGCUCAAUUGUGGUCGUAGGUUGAGGACUGCCUGUAUAGCAUUAUAAUAGUUGGUUGUGGAUGACCAUUGUGCCACAGGAUGGUACUUGAAUUCUUCUAAUCAGGACCAGGAGCAAUACUGGGGAGCAGUUGCCAAAAUCCUAAACUCAAUAGCCCAGGAAAGAUGCCAUUUGGCCAAUCCACUGGGCCAUGACAUGUCCUUUGGUUCCUCUGAAUGUACCUCUAAGGAUUCGACAUUGCGUUGAUAAGAAAAAAUGUAGGAAAUUAUAAGAUUCAAAAUCCACCCAGUAGUAACAGAUAAAGCAAAAUAAGAUCUGUCAUUGCAGGUUCUUCCAACCAUUUUUUAGGUGACUCCUCAAUCAGCUUUAUAGAGAAUACAAAUAAUCCACUAAAGCCAUUUGUCUGGAUGAUGCAUUUGUCCCUAAGACAGCCAAGUCAUCUGUAUCAGAUCAAUGAUACCGGCCAUGAAGAUAUGAAAGUCUGAGCAUUUUCUAGCCUCUUAGCAGCUCCCAUUUGCUUUCUGGAUUUCCAUGCCAUUCUGAAAAAUCUUUCUACACAAGGUUGUGCCUGCAAGGACAAUUCAGCCCCAUUGCUAGUUGGUAAUACAAGUCAGAUCCAUUUUAUUUCAUUUUUAAGCUUACAGUGGUAGAUCAACUAUUGGGAAGGAGGGAUUAAAAAUAAGGGGUUUUUCCAUAUCGGGCUACAGUGCCUCUUAAACAGGAACUCCUUCCCUUUCUUCCUGCUCUCUCCCGCACAGCCAGACUGUUGGGUCUCUGUGCCAACCCAAGAUAAGUUUCUUCUGGGCUGCAAGGAAUAAGCAAACUGUGUUGCACUAACUCAGAAUCCUUGGUCUCUUCUUUCCCUAUUUCAGGUUUUCCCAACUGUGGCAACUUUCAGGCAUGUGGACUUCAACUCCCAGAAUUCACCAGCCAGCCAAUCUAUUGCCUAACUUUGUCCAAUCUGCUAUACUUUGUCCAAUCUGAAGUAACUGGUUUAAGACUACCAUCACAAUCAAGAGAGAAACAAUCAAAAUUGCUUUUCUCAACUUGGUGCUGGCUAUAUCACUGAAGGAUAGCAUCUUGGAGUAAGCUGCCCUAUGGACUGUCAUGUAUCUUUCCUGAUUUGUCUUUAUUCUCAGUAAGUCGUUUGACCUUCCUUUCUAAUUAAAUUCAUAUUAUAUCUGU